UGGUUUGUUACGUCGGUUGUGAAAUUCAGGGGCUCAACCCUGACUUGCAGCCGAUACGGGCAAGCUAGAGUUUGGUAGGGGAGACUGGAAUUCCUGGUGUAGCGGUGGAAUGCGCAGAUAUCAGGAGGAACACCGAUGGCGAAGGCAGGUCUCUGGGCCAAUACUGACACUGGGGAGCGAAAGCGUGGGGAGCGAACAGGAUUAGAUACCCUGGUAGUCCACGCCGUAAACGGUGGGCGCUAGUUGUGCGAACCUUCCACGGUUUGUGCGACGCAGCUAACGCAUUAAGCGCCCCGCCUGGGGAGUACGAUCGCAAGAUUAAAACUCAAAGGAAUUGACGGGGCCCCGCACAAGCAGCGGAGCAUGCGGCUUAAUUCGACGCAACGCGAAGAACCUUACCAAGGCUUGACAUAUACAGGAAUAUGGCAGAGAUGUCAUAGCCGCAAGGUCUGUAUACAGGUGGUGCAUGGUUGUCGUCAGCUCGUGUCGUGAGAUGUUGGGUUAAGUCCCGCAACGAGCGCAACCCUCGUUCUGUGUUGCCAGCAUUUAGUUGGGGACUCACAGGAGACUGCCGGGGUUAACUCGGAGGAAGGUGGGGAUGACGUCAAAUCAUCAUGCCCCUUAUGUCUUGGGCUGCACGCAUGCUACAAUGGCUGGUACAAACGGCUGCGAUACCGCAAGGUGGAGCGAAUCCGAUAAAGCCAGUCUCAGUUCGGAUUGGGGUCUGCAACUCGACCCCAUGAAGUCGGAGUUACUAGUAAUCGUAGAUCAGCAACGCUACGGUGAAUACGUUCCCGGGGCUUGUACACACCGCCCGUCACAUCACGAAAGUCGGUAACACCCAAAGUCAGUGGCCCAACCGCAAGGAGGGAGCUGCCAAAGGUGGGAUCGGUGAUUGGGAUGAAGUCGUAACAAGGUA
This 919-nucleotide ribosomal RNA is filed under the name uncultured bacterium. RNAcentral's name for it is "bacterial SSU rRNA". It matches the Rfam family "Bacterial small subunit ribosomal RNA", at positions 576 to 1498 of the family's 1533-position model. The record is from RNAcentral.